This 253-nucleotide ribosomal RNA is filed under the name uncultured bacterium. RNAcentral's name for it is "partial 16S ribosomal RNA". It matches the Rfam family "Bacterial small subunit ribosomal RNA", at positions 524 to 776 of the family's 1533-position model. The record is from RNAcentral.
UACGUAGGGUGCGAGCGUUAAUCGGAAUUACUGGGCGUAAAGCGUGCGCAGGCGGCUUUGCAAGACAGGCGUGAAAUCCCCGGGCUUAACCUGGGAAUGGCGCUUGUGACUGCAAAGCUGGAGUGCGGCAGAGGGGGAUGGAAUUCCGCGUGUAGCAGUGAAAUGCGUAGAUAUGGGGAGGAACACCGAUGGCGAAGGCAAUCCCCUGGGCCUGCACUGACGCUCAUGCACGAAAGCGUGGGGAGCAAACAGG